RNAcentral lists this ribosomal RNA (446 nucleotides) under uncultured bacterium. RNAcentral's name for it is "partial 16S ribosomal RNA". It matches the Rfam family "Bacterial small subunit ribosomal RNA", at positions 338 to 795 of the family's 1533-position model. The record is from RNAcentral.
CCUACGGGGGGCAGCAGUCGAGAAUCAUUCACAAUGGGGGAAACCCUGAUGGUGCGACGCCGCGUGGGGGAAUGAAGGUCUUCGGACUGUAAACCCCUGUCAUGUGGGAGCAAAUUAAAAAGAUAGUACCACAAGAGGAAGAGACGGCUAACUCUGUGCCAGCAGCCGCGGUAAUACAGAGGUCUCAAGCGUUGUUCGGAAUCACUGGGCGUAAAGCGUGCGGAGGCUGUUUCGUAAGGCGUGUGUGAAAGGCGCGGGCUCAACCCGCGGACGGCACAGGAAACUGGGAGACUGGAGUACAGGAGGGGUAACCGGAAUUCUCGGUGUAGCAGUGAAAUGCGUAGAUAUCGGGAGGAACACUCGUGGCGAAGGCGGGUUCCUGGACAUUAACUGACGCUGAGGCACGAAGGCCAGGGGAGCGAAAGGGAUUAGAUACCCGAGUAGUC